GGGGGAUGGCGGACGGCUACACAUGCAGUCGAGCGGAUGAGUGGAGCUUGCUCCAUGAUUCAGCGGCGGACGGGUGAGUAAUGCCUAGGAAUCUGCCUGGUAGUGGGGGACAACGUUUCGAAAGGAACGCUAAUACCGCAUACGUCCUACGGGAGAAAGUGGGGGAUCUUCGGACCUCACGCUAUCAGAUGAGCCUAGGUCGGAUUAGCUAGUUGGUGAGGUAAAGGCUCACCAAGGCGACGAUCCGUAACUGGUCUGAGAGGAUGAUCAGUCACACUGGAACUGAGACACGGUCCAGACUCCUACGGGAGGCAGCAGUGGGGAAUAUUGGACAAUGGGCGAAAGCCUGAUCCAGCCAUGCCGCGUGUGUGAAGAAGGUCUUCGGAUUGUAAAGCACUUUAAGUUGGGAGGAAGGGCAGUAAGUUAAUACCUUGCUGUUUUGACGUUACCGACAGAAUAAGCACCGGCUAACUUCGUGCCAGCAGCCGCGGUAAUACGAAGGGUGCAAGCGUUAAUCGGAAUUACUGGGCGUAAAGCGCGCGUAGGUGGUUCGUUAAGUUGGAUGUGAAAGCCCCGGGCUCAACCUGGGAACUGCAUCCAAAACUGGCGAGCUAGAGUAUGGCAGAGGGUGGUGGAAUUUCCUGUGUAGCGGUGAAAUGCGUAGAUAUAGGAAGGAACACCAGUGGCGAAGGCGACCACCGUCCUAAUCUAUGGGACCAUCAUGUGCGGCAUUUGCUACAGCUGAUCGGCAACCCUAGGAACUCUAGAAUCACCGCGUCGAUUGCGUAAUUCAGCUGGCGGACCCCUCAUGCCGGCGUUCCAAUUUUGAGUUUACUUAACUGCCCCCGGGCGUGUUCGCCACCUCGUACACCAAAUUAAGCUUCGUUGCGCUUCUUGGAAUGGUCCGGAACUGUACGUCUCUUGAAAGGUCUCUACCUAACCACGGAAGCCCUCGAGACUGUGUCCACGACGUACCGACAGCAGUCGAGCACAGCACUCUACAACCCAAUUCAGGGCAUUGCUCGCGUUGGGAACAGGAAUCAAUGGUCGUGCAAUUCCACCCGUGAGAUUCCUCUGACGGCCACUGUUUGGCCUCCUUCCACCCCUACUGCAGUUCAGUAGUACCGGGAAUGCCGGACCCGAUGUGUGCACGAUGUUACCAGCCAUGUUUCCCAACGGUUCGGCGCUCCACCUCGAUUAGGGUAUUUUGGCUAGCAUCAGGCCUAGCGUCAGACGUUGAGCUGACGCACUUCAGCCUUAGCGAUCAUUAGCACUUAGUCUUACAGUGCCACUUAUGCAAGGGCCCGGAUCUGGGCUAAUACUGACACUGAGGUGCGAAAGCGUGGGGAGCAAA
This 1354-nucleotide ribosomal RNA is filed under the name Pseudomonas sp. N9-4. Its description in RNAcentral is "bacterial SSU rRNA". The stretch from base 1 to 792 matches the Rfam family "Bacterial small subunit ribosomal RNA". Lineage: Bacteria; Pseudomonadati; Pseudomonadota; Gammaproteobacteria; Pseudomonadales; Pseudomonadaceae. The record is from RNAcentral.